This 25-nucleotide non-coding RNA is filed under the name Rattus norvegicus (Norway rat). The record is from RNAcentral. Lineage: Eukaryota; Metazoa; Chordata; Mammalia; Rodentia; Muridae.
GAAAGAAUAGCGCCUCUUUCGAUCC